UAGUCUGCAACUCGACUACAUGAAGCUGGAAUCGCUAGUAAUCGCGAAUCAGAAUGUCGCGGUGAAUACGUUCCCGGGUCUUGUACACACCGCCCGUCACACCAUGGGAGUCAGUAACGCCCGAAGCCGGUGACCCAACCAAACGGAGGGAGCCGUCGAAGGUGGGACCGAUAACUGGGGUGAAGUCGUAACAAGGUAUC
Molecule: ribosomal RNA, 200 nt
Filed under: uncultured bacterium
Lineage: Bacteria
Description: partial 16S ribosomal RNA
Rfam family: Bacterial small subunit ribosomal RNA
Source: RNAcentral